AAUGAACGCUGGCGGCAUGCUUUACACAUGCAAGUCGAACGGUAACAGGGAGCUUGCUCCGCUGACGAGUGGCGAACGGGUGAGUAAUAUAUCGGAACGUACCCAAGAGUGGGGGAUAACGUAGCGAAAGUUACGCUAAUACCGCAUACGAUCUAUGGAUGAAAGCAGGGGACCUUCGGGCCUUGUGCUCCUGGAGCGGCCGAUAUCUGAUUAGCUAGUUGGUGAGGUAAAGGCUCACCAAGGCGACGAUCAGUAGCUGGUCUGAGAGGACGACCAGCCACACUGGAACUGGGACACGGUCCAGACGCCUACGGGAGGCAGCAGUGGGGAAUUUUGGACAAUGGGCGCAAGCCUGAUCCAGCAAUGCCGCGUGAGUGAAGAAGGCCUUCGGGUUGUAAAGCUCCUUUGUCAGGGAAGAAACGGCUGUGGCUAAUAUCCACGGCUAAUGACGGUACCUGAAGAAUAAGCACCGGCUAACUACGUGCCAGCAGCCGCGGUAA
RNAcentral lists this ribosomal RNA (500 nucleotides) under uncultured bacterium. Its description in RNAcentral is "partial 16S ribosomal RNA". It matches the Rfam family "Bacterial small subunit ribosomal RNA", at positions 29 to 523 of the family's 1533-position model. The record is from RNAcentral.